Molecule: regulatory RNA element, 81 nt
Organism: Desulfuromonas soudanensis
Lineage: Bacteria; Pseudomonadati; Thermodesulfobacteriota; Desulfuromonadia; Desulfuromonadales; Desulfuromonadaceae
Rfam family: c-di-GMP-I-GGC riboswitch aptamer
Source: Rfam
CCCGACAAAGCCAAACCCUCCGCGAGGAGGGGACGGAAAGUGACGGAUCUUCCCGAAGUGAAGAUGGCCGAGCUGCCGAAG